CAAUUUACACCAGCAACCUAGCAUGCCUCUAAACCAGGUUCCAACAACAAUUAACAUAUUCAUAAACAUAACAACCGAGACCCUAGAUCAUCCUCCUCUCCUCGCCAUGAUUCCACGGAUCACAAUUUACCUGCACCACAAACGCAAUGAGAUGCGUGAGUAUUAUCACAAAUACUCAGUUUUGAGAGCGAUCCUCCCAUCUACGAGCUAUACACACAAGCUAUGAGAUAACACCCACAUAUAUAACAUAAACAAACCAUUCAUCAAGCUAAACAUCCAAUAACACUUACAAUUCACCUACAAAUCAUCACAAACAAGUCACUCAAUCCCAAUCGCUUAGAGAAGCUCAUGGUCACGCACUCACCUUAACAAGGUGAUUUAAAUAACAAAAACAACCAGAAAAGACUCUCCUCGCGACUGCAACAGCCAAACAACGCCCUACAACAAACCACACAAACAAAAAUCUCUAAGAACCAAAAGGACAGAAACAGCAGUAAAACUACAGCCGCAGAAACGAAGCCCUAAAACAUAAACCAACCGUUAACUUCUUAAUCCCUACGGUGAAAAGCAAGAUCCAGACGUCACGAAGCUCCCCACAACCUUUGGUACCGAUCGGAGAAGCGACGAAACUAUGAUUGCACUUAUAAACUCCGCUGAUCCCAGUUCGCAACAGAGAAAACACGUCUCACCAAACUGCAUAUAACUCACUGAGUAUUAAUCCGAAUUCACUUCUGUAAAAAGGAGAAUCAAUGUACACGCCUUAAGAACAAACCUACCAAAGCAAAGCUAACCCUCUCCUUCUACCAGGACGUGAUGAAUCUGCUUCUCUUGCCUUAAACACCAAAGCAAAGCUAACCCUCUCCUUCUCACAAGUGAACUUCUCCUUCUCUUUUUCUCAACUCAACUCUCAGGAAUAACAGCGACAAAACAAAAGAGAGAAUGAAGCGUUCUUUAUAAAAUUUAGGGUUUUUGGUUUAAUCUGAUUAAACCAUGAUUUACUUAAACCGACAUUAAUUAAACCUCAUUUGAUUGAAUUGACAAAUCGACGAGGUUAGGAAAUCAACCGGAAUUAAACCGACUCCACCCUAAUUCUUAUACACAAUCAAGUCUCAUAUUAUUUUCCAGAACACAUGAGUUACAAUUCUCCCCCAUUAACAUGGAUUCGUCCUCGAAUCCUUCAACAUCGUCCAUCAGUCGGACUCCGUGCAACCGUCCCAAACGAUCCGCACUCCCACAACUGACUCCUCUGAGGCUCCUAUAUAAUCCAUAUACUCACGUUCCAGACCCUAUUUGCUCAUAUUCACCCACUUCCCCCGUCCACAGGUCGCAACCCAUGAAUCAGAUCGGCUCGUCCUCAGGCCUCUUCCUUAGAUUACGGUAUCCAGGAAGUCUCACCACUCCCCCCGCUCUCAGGUUAAAACCAUCAAGUCAUACCGGCUUACUAUUAGGCCUCCAGCCUUCAAGCUACGGUAUCCGGGAAGUCUCACUACUCCCCCCGCUCAAAGGUCGCAACCUUCAAGUCAUACCGGCUCACUAUUAGGCCUCCAGCCUUCAAGCUACGGUAUCCGAGAAGUAUCACACUCGCUCUUGGGUCGUCACCCUUAAGCGUGCUCUCGAAUCGUCAUCCGAGACUAUCACAUAACAUCCGAGCAAAUAAGUCUAAACGCCCCCGAGCAUAUAUCUAGAUCAGAUAUACCUCCCGUGGUUCUCCUACAGCAUCGCAAUGCUAUACUAACCACAAUCCUGGAACUUUCCAAAACUAGAACCAUCAAACCCGACGCUUUCUAUUUUUAGAAACUCACACAUAUUUCUCUUUCACAUGACACCAACAAGUCAAAUCUAAGAAAUACUCAUCUUAUUAAACUCAAUGUCAUAAUCAUUAUACCAAAAUGAAAAAUUCAAAAGAGCUACAACCAAACUCGACUCAAAACAAAAGAAACAAGACCAACGGUCUACUCCUCGACCUGCUUGUCAAGCCACUUUUGGAACCUUGCCUUCAACUUGGCUACUGACUAGGAAUCAUCCCGUGACUCCUCAACUCAUCUUCAAUACCCGCUGCCACCUCAACCAACUCAACACGCGACGCAUAGGCUCGCACCUUACACCGCACCCUCAUGUCGUGGUUGAGACCCUUCAUGAAACAACGCACCUGCAUCUGCUCAGGAUCUCCCGCACGACCCGAGUACACCAAGAGUCGGCUAAACUCUGAGUCGUACUCCCGCACCGACCGCUCACCUUGAGUCAAUGCCAGAAACUGCGACUCCAUCCGGUCCAGUGCCUCCACCGGGAAAUACUUGGCAUUAAAAUCUGCCAAGAAGUCCCCCCACACUAUCAAUCUCUGCUCCCUUUUAGCCAGCACACUCCUCCACUACAAGUGUGCAUCACCAGCCAAAUAGUGAGUCGCUAGGUCCACCCGGUACGCCUCUGGGCACCUCAUCGACUGGAAGUACCGCUCCAAUCGCAUCCGCUACUCAUCCGCUACAGCUGGGUCAGAACCCCCAAAGAACAAAGACAUCCCGAACCGAUGCAGCUGCUCCAGCAUCCGCAGGUAGUACGGCUGCUCGACCACCGCACCUACCCCUUCAGGCUGUACAACCCCAACAACAGGCUGCACACCAGGCCCAACGGGCUGCACCUCAGGCCCAACAGGAGCCUACAACUCAGGCCCAACAGGAGCCUACACCUCAGGCUCAACAGGAGCCUGCACUGGCGGUACCGCAUCCGGUAACCACUCCAAGAGCUGGAUCAGCAAAUCCGCAAGCCGAUCAUUCUGACCCUGGGCUCCACCUGUUGGAACACCCCCAACCGGGUUUCCAAGAACACUAGUACCGUUCCAGGACAAACCGGCUCCCACGGCACUCACACUCUCACCACCCACGGGCCCUUCCUGAUGCGACUGGGACUCACUUAGAAAAUCGGCCGUAGCAUUCCGACCCACACUCGUGUCGCUACCCGAGGCAACACUACGCUCCCUACUGCGACCACGCCCACGACCACGACCACGACCGACAGCUCCACCUCUAACCAUCUGCAACACAACAGAAGGCUAAGAACACCAAACAAAUCACCAAACCACACAACUUACCGUGGAAUCUCAUUGAAGGCUCGAGAGGAUGAUCUAGGUCUCCAUGCUCACACAAUUGAUUAAACACACAAUCAAUCAGCAUGCAAUCCACAUCAUCAUUCCUCAUCAAUAAAAUUCACACAUCACAUCACAAUUUUUUACCAAUUAAAUCUCGUCCUAGAACCGUAAAUGCUCUGAUACCAAAUUGAAAAGACCCGACAUGUUUUUUUAAUUCAUUAAUUAAUAGUCUCAUACCUACUAAUUAACCUAACCGAAUUAACCCAACAAUAAAUCAUCAUGCACAGCGGAAACAUAUUAAACCAACAUCAAUUAAUCAUAAUAUUAAUUAAUCAAUCAUUCAAUAACUACAAUUUACACCAGCAACAUAGCAUGCCUCUAAACCAGGUUCCAACAACAAUUAACAUAUUCAUAAGCAUAACAACCGAGACCCUAGAUCAUCCUCCUCUCCUUGCCAUCAUUCCACGGAUCACAAUUUACCUGCACCACAAACACAAUGAGAUGCGUGAGUAUUAUCACAAAUACUCAGUGAGAGCGAUCCUCCCAUCUACGAGCUAUACACACAAGCUAUGAGAUAACACCCACAUAUAUAACAUAAACAAACCAUUCAGCAAGCUAAACAUCCAAUAACACUUCCAAUUCACCUACAAAU
RNAcentral lists this long non-coding RNA (3734 nucleotides) under Capsella rubella. Its description in RNAcentral is "long non-coding RNA (CRUB_LNC002226)". The record is from RNAcentral. Lineage: Eukaryota; Viridiplantae; Streptophyta; Magnoliopsida; Brassicales; Brassicaceae.